Non-coding RNA from Aegilops tauschii subsp. strangulata, 913 nucleotides. NCBI's taxonomy places the organism in Eukaryota, Viridiplantae, Streptophyta, Magnoliopsida, Poales, Poaceae. The record is from RefSeq and is a predicted model, not a curated record.
CGAGGAAGGGACGAGAAGAGGAGGGGGAGCCCCGGCGGCGGCGGCGGCUAGGGUUCCCUCCUUAUCAUUUGUGGCUAACAGAUGCAUCCGUUCUGACUAGGCAUUAUCAUGUAUUGCACCGUAGUAUCACUUUUGCAUAGGAUAAAUACCUACUUUUGCUGAAGGUUACUUCAUAAAAUUUAAUUCAUGAUGUCGUUUUGCCUGUUGUAGUACCUUCAACAUAGAAGUAGUAGUGGUCUGCUCGCCCAAGAUCUAUAACUCGUGGAUGUGCAUAGGGAGCAGAUGAAAUGGGAAUAAGAGGAUCCCCGGCGCAUGCACAAAUUCUUGCUACCUGACUGCUGACGGUGAGGAUGAGCACCGAGUUGCAAACGUGUGUCCCUUCCCCGCAAACUACAUUUCCUUUCAGUUAACCAAAUCAGCAUCUUGUUUUUUUCCUACUUUUCUCUUAUUUCUUAGAUACCUCUGACCUAUCUCGAGAAGGUCCGGGCCAUAGGAUGGCGUGUACAACGCACAACCAAUUACUCCGACAACGUAGUUGUUGUACUGGUAACAGCGGCCACAACUUUCUACACAAUCGUCACUAGCUGCGACCGUCGAUGUACCUGAUGCCGUGUAUGCCUCUCCGUCGCUUUAGUAUGCUUGGUUAUUCGGUUCUGCCGGAGCCAAGGUUCAACGCAUUUUAGUUUUGUGUGAUAGACAUAGGUUGGAUGGAUCGUCGACGACUUCAGGCUUUUGGUGCCCAUAGGUAGCAGGAUAGCAGGAUGAGUUAGAUGUGUUCUUGAGAGACCAGGUGAUGUCGUUGCUCAAAGGAGGAUGGGGAUGAAGAUGUGAACCAUCGAAUCAAAGCCGGAUGCAUGAAGUGGCGCCAAGCUUCUGGCAUUCUCUGUAACAAGAGAGUGCCACAAAAGCUAAA